CGGCACUAGAUGUAUGCUCGUGCUCGCUGUCGCCGCAGGGGAAUCCGGUGCGAAUCCGGAACUGUCCCGCAACGGUGUACUCGCGUGCGUUCGCACGCCCGUGUCAGUCCGAGGACCUGCCGGCAGCGCGCGCCCGGC
RNAcentral lists this non-coding RNA (138 nucleotides) under Streptomyces incarnatus. Lineage: Bacteria; Bacillati; Actinomycetota; Actinomycetes; Kitasatosporales; Streptomycetaceae. The record is from RNAcentral.